UACGGAGGAUGCGAGCGUUAUCCGGAUUUAUUGGGUUUAAAGGGUGCGUAGGCGAACGCUUAAGUCAGCGGUAAAAUUGCGGGGCUCAACCUCGUCGAGCCGUUGAAACUGGGUGUCUUGAGUGGGCGAGAAGUACGCGGAAUGCGUGGUGUAGCGGUGAAAUGCACAGAUAUCACGCAGAACUCCGAUUGCGAAGGCAGCGUACCGGCGCCCAACUGACGCUGAAGCACGAAGGCGUGGGUAUCGAACAGG
Molecule: ribosomal RNA, 252 nt
Filed under: uncultured bacterium
Lineage: Bacteria
Description: partial 16S ribosomal RNA
Rfam family: Bacterial small subunit ribosomal RNA
Source: RNAcentral